CCUACGGGAGGCAGCAGUGAGGAAUAUUGGUCAAUGGGCGGAAGCCUGAACCAGCCAAGUAGCGUGCAGGAUGACGGCCCUACGGGUUGUAAACUGCUUUUAUCCGGGAAUAACGCGCCUUACGUGUAGGGCUUUGCAUGUACCGUAUGAAUAAGGACCGGCUAAUUCCGUACCAGCAGCCGCGGUAAGACGGAAGGUCCGGGCGUUAUCCGGAUUUAUUGGGUUAAAGGGGAGCGUGGGCCGCAUUUAAAGCGUGAUUUGAAAUGUCCGGGCUCAACCCGGGCCUUGCAGGGCGAAUGGGCGUCCUGAGGUCCGCAGAAAGGAGUAGGAAUUCGGGUGG
This 340-nucleotide ribosomal RNA is filed under the name uncultured bacterium. Its description in RNAcentral is "partial 16S ribosomal RNA". It matches the Rfam family "Bacterial small subunit ribosomal RNA", at positions 338 to 675 of the family's 1533-position model. The record is from RNAcentral.